UUCACCAGCAUUGGAGAGGACUAUGAUGAGCGUGUGCUGCCAUCUAUUACUACAGAGAUCCUCAAGUCGGUGGUGGCUCGCUUUGAUGCUGGAGAGCUAAUCACCCAGAGAGAGCUCGUCUCCAGGCAGGUGAGCGAUGACCUUACGGAGCGAGCAGCAACCUUUGGGCUCAUCCUGGAUGAUGUUUCCUUGACACAUCUGACCUUCGGGAAGGAGUUCACAGAAGCAGUGGAAGCCAAACAGGUGGCUCAACAGGAAGCAGAGAGGGCCAGAUUUGUGGUGGAAAAGGCUGAGCAGCAGAAAAAGGCAGCCAUCAUCUCUGCUGAGGGGGACUCCAAGGCAGCAGAGCUGAUUGCCAACUCACUGGCCACAGCGGGUGAUGGCCUGAUCGAGCUCCGCAAGCUGGAGGCUGCAGAGGACAUUGCAUUCCAGCUGUCGCGCUCUCGGAACAUCACCUACCUGCCAGCAGGGCAGUCUGUGCUCCUCCAGCUGCCCCAGUGAGGGCCUGCCCUGCCUGUACUCCUCAGGCCAACUGGGCCACAGCCCUGAUGAUGAUUAACACCACCUCCCUUCUGCCCCCACCCAGAAAUCACUGUGAAAUCUCAUGAUUGGCUUAAAGUGAAGGAAAUAAAAGUAAAAAUCACUUCAGAUCUCUAAUUAUCAAAUGAAGCUCUUUCAUUCUUCUCACACCCAUCUACUUUUUUAACCACCUCCCUACCAAAAUUGCCAAGUGCCUACACAGACUAGCCUUGGGUCCCAGUUCCAGGCCUGCGGGAGCUCCAUUCUAGGCACUGGCAGUUAGCAGGACAGAGGCAGGACAGGGCAUGUGUGGACCAGGGAGCACAGUUGUCAGCCUGGGCAGAUGUGCAGUGUCCGUGCUAUCUGCUGAAGGUUUGAGGAUGUGGCACACGCAGCUCCACUGAGAAUGCAGCCUCAGUUUUUCCAGCAGUUCCUGCACCGACGCAGCUGAAAAGAGGUGCUGGGGAAUGUCAGAAAGGAAGUGAUCUGUCUCUUUCCAUAAGGCUGAUUCUCUUUAACUGUGCGACCAGCGGAAGCAGGUGUGUUCAAACAGGGCAUGGAUCGAAGAAUCUGCCCUUGUUGAGGUGGGUGGGCCUGAUUGAGCUGCCCCCCAGGGUCCCAAAACUGGGAUGGACUUGGAUAGGGAGAGAGGAGGCCUGGACUGAGAUGUGAGUCUGUCGAAGACUUCCUCUCCACACCCACCUUGGUCCCUCUCAAAUACCCAACGGAAUUCCAGCUUGAAGGAUUGCAUCCUGCUGGGCCAAACAUGCCUGCCAAAGACGUGCGCAUCCUGAGUUCCUGGCUCCCUCGUUCAGAGACUGCCCUUCUCAAGGGCUCUGUGCCUAGGCUUUGAAGGAAACCACCACAGGAAGAAAACAAAUGUAUGUAAACUCCUGUCAAUAAAUGACAUGCAGACCUUCCA
Otolemur garnettii (small-eared galago) is the source of this 1441-nucleotide RNA transcript. It is a transcript of the gene named prohibitin pseudogene, with no coding region annotated. The record is from RefSeq and is a predicted model, not a curated record. NCBI's taxonomy places the organism in Eukaryota, Metazoa, Chordata, Mammalia, Primates, Galagidae. The transcript has a single exon.